CUGGAGAAGGUCCCAAGGGUCCGGCUGUUCGCCGGUUAAAGCGGCACGCGAGCUGGGUUCAGACCGUCGUGAGACAGGUCGGUCUCUAUCCGUUGUGGGCGUUUGGAAAUUUGAGGGGGUCUCUUUCUAGUACGAGAGGAUCGAAAGGGACAGACCAAUGGUGUGCCAGUUGUUCCGCCAGGGGCAUCGCUGGGUAGCCAAGUCUGGUUCGGAUAAACGCUGAAAGCAUCUAAGUGUGAAGCCGGCCCCAAGAUGAGAUUUCCCACUCUGGUUCGCCAGAGGUAAGACCGCAAGUAGACUACUUGUUUGAUAGGCAGCGUGUGUAAGCGUCGUAAGACGUUCAGCUAAGCUGUACUAAUGGUCGAGGGCUUGACCUG
This 377-nucleotide ribosomal RNA is filed under the name Dehalococcoidales bacterium. RNAcentral's name for it is "partial 23S ribosomal RNA". It matches the Rfam family "Bacterial large subunit ribosomal RNA", at positions 2553 to 2925 of the family's 2925-position model. The record is from RNAcentral. Lineage: Bacteria; Bacillati; Chloroflexota; Dehalococcoidia; Dehalococcoidales.